This 69-nucleotide transfer RNA is filed under the name Microbacterium saperdae. RNAcentral describes it as "tRNA-Pro". Lineage: Bacteria; Bacillati; Actinomycetota; Actinomycetes; Micrococcales; Microbacteriaceae. The record is from RNAcentral.
CGGGCUGUGGCGCAGCUUGGUAGCGCACUUGACUGGGGGUCAAGUGCGGUAGCGGCUGGUUCAGCCUGA